CUGAUCGACGUCUUCGUUCUUUGGAGCAGUUCCUAAUUCCUAAACAGCUGUGUUGAGAGGCAGUCGACCAUUCCAAGCGGUCCUUUAUCUGUUUUCGGGGGAAAAUUGAAGACUUUACUUAUUCUGUGAGUGUGGAGGCAAUGUGGACCUACGCAUUAAGACAGAGUACGCCUUAUAAAGAUCAGGAUUUCCCUUGUGUCGUUAUAAAACAAGUGAGGUUGACGGUACUUCGUUAAGUUCUUCCGGUGAAGCUGGACAUGAGGAAACGAAGGAGGGGAAGGGGGUUGGGGGGAAGACACAGAAAAGAAAGAAAACUUAAGGUCACUGGGAAUGAAUCCAUGGCAGAGGAGAUUGAAGAGCAGAUUUUUUCAAGACUGUAGCAUAAUUUGUCCAUUUAUCAUCGCUGAAUGUGUUUCAGCCCCUCUCUUCCCCAAGGAUGAGGAGAACCCCUUAGUAUGGAUUUCACCACUUGUAAGUGAAACCCCUGUACAGGUCAACACCAAUGAAGGCAUUGAUGCAUCCCUUUGCAAUGCAACCAUACUAGAUGGCAAGACUGUUCUGCUAGUAAGCUGAUAACUAGGGAAUUAAUGUGCAGACCUGAGCCAUAUUUACUCCAACCAUUUAGGCCUGUCUGCCCAUUCGCACGACUGGGAUGCACCAUGAUACAAUGUCCGUCACUGGAGGUGUGAUAAACUGAAAAGUUUGUGACUGGAGUUAUGCCG
This is a long non-coding RNA of Macrobrachium nipponense, 722 nucleotides long. RefSeq lists it as uncharacterized. The transcript is spliced from 3 exons. The record is from RefSeq and is a predicted model, not a curated record. NCBI's taxonomy places the organism in Eukaryota, Metazoa, Arthropoda, Malacostraca, Decapoda, Palaemonidae.